This 419-nucleotide ribosomal RNA is filed under the name Incisitermes schwarzi. RNAcentral describes it as "partial 16S ribosomal RNA". The stretch from base 1 to 169 matches the Rfam family "Archaeal large subunit ribosomal RNA", at positions 1891 to 2104 of the family's 2987-position model. Lineage: Eukaryota; Metazoa; Arthropoda; Insecta; Blattodea; Kalotermitidae. The record is from RNAcentral.
UCGCCUGUUUAUCAAAAACAUCUUUUCUUGGUUUNUUUUUUGAAGUAUGGCCUGCCCACUGAUGUUGUUUGAAGGGCCGCGGUAUUUUGACCGUGCAAAGGUAGCAUAAUCAUUAGUUCUUUAAUUGUGAACUGGUAUGAAUGGCUUGACGAGGUGCUGACUGUCUUUGUGUUUAAAAGUUUUGUUGAAUUUAGUCUUCUGGUAAAAAUACUCGGAUUUUGUUGUGGGACACAAGAMCUAUAGAGUUUUAUGUAACUUUCUUUUUUUUGUUUGUUAUUUCUUGUUGAGUUUGGUUGCAUUUUGUUGGGGUGAGGAGAAAAUAUGUUUAACUUUUCUUUUUAAUGUUUCACUUAUUUGUGUUUUCAUGAUCCUUUAUUAUUGAUUAUAAGAUUAAAUUACCUUAGGGAUAACAGCGUAAA